AAAAAAAAAAAAAAAAAAAUUUAAACAUGUUUUUUUUAUAUUUAAAAGCGUCUCUUAAAACAUCACUUCUUAUAUACCGCCGCUUAUGCCAAGCGUCGAUAAAAUAUAUUAUGAUGUUUUAAAGUGUCAGAAUUUUUAAGAAUUUUUUUGAAAUUCUAACGCUUUAAAGUGUCAAAAAUUAAAAAUAAUAAUGAAGUAUAUCAUCUAAUAAAUUGGUUUGUUGUAAUAGAGGGUUUUAUAUGACGACGCUUUUUGAAAUAUCGUUGUUAAGUGUUAUUUAAAAAACAUCCUUAUAUCGAAAGAUUUUUAUAGUGCCAUUUAAUUGUAACUGCACAUUUGCGUAUUGUAAAAAAUGAACCAAGUGGCUAACUAAAGGCACCCACUAACAGUAUAUUCGUGCAACGCAUCGCUAUUUCAAUACAACCAAAAUUUGUUGUGUUAUAAAGAAAUUGGUGGAAAUUGGUGGACAAUUAGUGGAUUGACGUUUGUAGAGGUGACUGGAGUAAACGAGGAGACCAGUCCACGAAACAGGUCGAAUUAUUGGAUGCUAAUUUUUUACAAUAAAAAUGUAAGGAGACCGCUCACCAAUUGUAUAUUCUGAAAUAGCUCCCUUAAGAUUUUUAAAAAAGAAAUACUAUACAUACACUCUAAACCUUCGUUUGGUUCGGGUAUAAGUAAGAACUAGUUAUACCGAGAAUAGUUAUAAGUAUGAAUUUUCGUAGAAAUAAGUGUAUUUCUUUAUUUGGAUGAAAAUAUGAGUAUAAAGUGGAACUAAAAAAAUCAUAUUUGGAUGAAAAAUAUGAGUAUAAUAUGGAAUAGUCGGUAGUUAUAAAUAGAAAAUAAUGAUAUUACCUUUAUAAUUGAAUUUAAAUUUUUAAACCCAAAAUUUUAAAUUGAAAAUUUUAACUUUUACAUUUUAAAAUUUGAAAUUAAAUUUAAAAUUUUAAUUUUCAAAUUUUUAAUUUUAAAUAUCUAAUUUUAAAUUUAAGAUCAAAUUUAUAUCUGAAAGAUAUAAAAUAUCAAAUUUAAAAUUUAAAAACUAAAAAUAUCAUAUUUAAAAUUUAAAAAUUAAAAAUAUCAAAUUUAAAAUUUAAAAAUUUAUAAUUUAUAAUUUAUAAUUAUAAAUUUUAAAUUUUAAAAAUUAAAAUUCAAAA
Molecule: long non-coding RNA, 1154 nt
Filed under: Ananas comosus (pineapple)
Lineage: Eukaryota; Viridiplantae; Streptophyta; Magnoliopsida; Poales; Bromeliaceae
Description: long non-coding RNA (ACOM_LNC035166)
Source: RNAcentral